This 136-nucleotide ribosomal RNA is filed under the name uncultured bacterium. Its description in RNAcentral is "partial 16S ribosomal RNA". The record is from RNAcentral.
GCACGAAGUUAGCCGGGACUUAUUCUCCGGGUACCGUCAUUAUCGUCCCCGGCAAAAGAGCUUUACAACCCGAAGGCCUUCAUCACUCACGCGGCAUGGCUGGAUCAGGCUUGCGCCCAUUGUCCAAUAUUCCCCA